AUUGAACGCUGGCGGCAGGCCUAACACAUGCAAGUCGAGCGGAUGAAGGGAGCUUGCUCCUGGAGUCAGCGGCGGACGGGUGAGUAAUGCCUAGGAAUCUGCCUGGUAGUGGGGGAUAACGUCCGGAAACGGGCGCUAAUACCGCAUACGUCCUGAGGGAGAAAGUGGGGGAUCUUCGGACCUCACGCUAUCAGAGGAGCCUAGGUCGGAUUAGCUAGUUGGUGGGGUAAAGGCCUACCAAGGCGAGGAUCCGUAACUGGUCUGAGUGGAUGAUAAGUCACACUGGAACUGGGACACGGUCCAGACUCCUACGGGAGGCACCAGUGGGGAAUAUUGGACAGUGGGCGAAAGCCUGAUCCAGCCAUGCCGAGUGUGUGACGACGGCCUUCGGAUUGUAAAGCACGUUAAGUUGGGAGGAAGGGCAGUCAGUUAAUACCUUGCUGUUUUGACGUUACCAACAGAAUAAGCACCGGCUAACUUCGUG
This 484-nucleotide ribosomal RNA is filed under the name uncultured bacterium. RNAcentral's name for it is "partial 16S ribosomal RNA". It matches the Rfam family "Bacterial small subunit ribosomal RNA", at positions 30 to 507 of the family's 1533-position model. The record is from RNAcentral.